GACGAACGCUGGCGGCGUGCUUAACACAUGCAAGUCGAACGGUGAAGCUCCAGCUUGCUGGAGUGGAUCAGUGGCGAACGGGUGAGUAACACGUGAGCAACCUGCCCCUGACUCUGGAAUAAGCGCUGGAAACGGCGUCUAAUACUGGAUACGAGAAGCUUCCGCAUGGGCACUUUCUGGAAAGUUUUUCGGUUGGGGAUGGGCUCGCGGCCUAUCAGCUUGUUGGUGAGGUAAUGGCUCACCAAGGCGACGACGGGUAGCCGGCCUGAGAGGGCGACCGGCCACACUGGGACUGAGACACGGCCCAGACUCCUACGGGAGGCAGCAGUGGGGAAUAUUGCACAAUGGGGGAAAGCCUGAUGCAGCGACGCCGCGUGAGGGAUGACGGCCUUCGGGUUGUAAACCUCGUUCGGCAGGGAAGAAGCGAAAGUGACGGUACCUGGAGAAGAAGCACCGGCUAACUACGUG
RNAcentral lists this ribosomal RNA (468 nucleotides) under uncultured bacterium. Its description in RNAcentral is "partial 16S ribosomal RNA". It matches the Rfam family "Bacterial small subunit ribosomal RNA", at positions 28 to 507 of the family's 1533-position model. The record is from RNAcentral.